GUGAAUCAUCAAAUCUUUGAACGCAAAUUGCACUCUCCGGUUUUCCGGGAGAGUAUGCCUGUUUGAGGGUCUGUUUAAAAAAUAAUCGAGGCUGCUGCUGUGGUGGCUCUUCGGAAUUGGGUCAUCUUUCACCUUUCGGUUGUAAGCGACCUAAAAUUUUUUUUACGAUUUUAACAAACUGUCUUAGAAAUUCCUUUUAGUUUCA
This 205-nucleotide unclassified non-coding RNA is filed under the name Glomus sp. RNAcentral describes it as "partial contains 5.8S ribosomal RNA and internal transcribed spacer 2". The stretch from base 1 to 72 matches the Rfam family "5.8S ribosomal RNA", at positions 84 to 154 of the family's 154-position model. Lineage: Eukaryota; Fungi; Glomeromycota; Glomeromycetes; Glomerales; Glomeraceae. The record is from RNAcentral.